Molecule: transfer RNA, 67 nt
Filed under: Hydrophilidae sp. BMNH 1274343
Lineage: Eukaryota; Metazoa; Arthropoda; Insecta; Coleoptera; Hydrophilidae
Description: tRNA-Ser
Source: RNAcentral
GAAAUAUGUUAUUCAAAAUAAAGCUUCUAACUUUAAUUUUUAGCAGUGAAAAUCUGUUUAUAUUUCU